AUGCACUCCGUAGAUAUCACAAGUGACCUCCCAGUUCCUGAGGGUAGAAGCCAUGUCUCAAUGGCAGAGUACUACUGCUACUGCUUUCAUUAUAAAAAAGAUCAAUUCAAUCCAUUUCUUUGCUGUGGAAGAUUAUCUUCUCAGUCCCAGGUUGAUGGUUUUGCAAGUGUUGAAGAAGGCAGGCUAACAUACAUAGCAGAGCAUCAAGAUGACUUUAGAUGCGAACAUUUCCAAGGUGUUGCUGAUGCCGUUGGCCAGGGACAUCUUGAUGGUAGCAGUAUAGGUAAAAAGAGAAUUAUCCAUGCAGCCUUCACAGGCAGCGAUUGCUAUGGACAGCAAAAUUUUCAAGAUGGUGUCACAAUCUGUCGUGUUUUUGGUCCACCUCAUUUAUUUGUCACCUUCAUGUGUAACCCGAAGUGGGAUGAGAUCAAAGAUGCCCUUGUAUUUUAG
This 450-nucleotide ribosomal RNA is filed under the name Triticum aestivum (bread wheat). Its description in RNAcentral is "partial small subunit ribosomal RNA". Lineage: Eukaryota; Viridiplantae; Streptophyta; Magnoliopsida; Poales; Poaceae. The record is from RNAcentral.